AUGACCACCAUCAACUGGAACUGUCGAGGGCUUGGGAACCCUCAGACAGUUCGUGAGCUUCACAAGAUUGUGAAGCAGGAAGGUCCUGCCCUGCUGUUCAUCAUGGAAACAAAAAUCAAGGGCAAGAGAGUGGAAUAUCUGAAAUUUUCUUUGGGUUUUUUGGGUUGUUUUGCCAUCGACAGUGAUGGCCUUAGUGGUGGUAUUGGCCUAUUCUGGUCAAAAGAUGUUGAUGUCAAAUUGGAGAACUUUAGUCGUUAA
Molecule: ribosomal RNA, 258 nt
Filed under: Triticum aestivum (bread wheat)
Lineage: Eukaryota; Viridiplantae; Streptophyta; Magnoliopsida; Poales; Poaceae
Description: partial small subunit ribosomal RNA
Source: RNAcentral